This 356-nucleotide ribosomal RNA is filed under the name uncultured bacterium. Its description in RNAcentral is "bacterial SSU rRNA". It matches the Rfam family "Bacterial small subunit ribosomal RNA", at positions 29 to 416 of the family's 1533-position model. The record is from RNAcentral.
AACGAACGCUGGCGGCAGGCCUAAUACAUGCAAGUCGAACGCACCGCAAGGUGAGUGGCAGACGGGUGAGUAACGCGUGGGAACCUUCCUAGUAGUACGGAAUAACUCCGGGAAACCGGUGCUAAUACCGUAUAAGCCCUCCGGGGGAAAGAUUUAUCGCUACUAGAUGGGCCCGCGUCGGAUUAGCUUGUUGGUGAGGUAAUGGCUCACCAAGGCUUCGAUCCGUAGCUGGUCUGAGAGGANGAUCAGCCACACUGGGACUGAGACACGGCCCAGACUCCUACGGGAGCAGCAGUAGGGAUAUUGGACAAUGGGCGAAAGCCUGAUCCAGCCAUGCCGCGUGAGUGAAGAAGGCC